GUGAUCAUACUAGCACUAAUGCAUCAGAUCGCAUCAGAACUCCGCAGUUAAGCGUACUUGGGCGAGAGUAGUGCUAAGAUGGUUGACCCCCAAGGAAGGAUUAUUGUUAUACCCU
Non-coding RNA from Ilex paraguariensis (yerba mate), 115 nucleotides. The record is from the annotation of a GenBank genome assembly. NCBI's taxonomy places the organism in Eukaryota, Viridiplantae, Streptophyta, Magnoliopsida, Aquifoliales, Aquifoliaceae.